This 326-nucleotide long non-coding RNA is filed under the name Marmota monax (woodchuck). The record is from RNAcentral. Lineage: Eukaryota; Metazoa; Chordata; Mammalia; Rodentia; Sciuridae.
GGUGAGCUGGGUUUGGGGGGAGUUCCAUAAUAUACUCAAGUUCCGGGCUGGCUAGCUAGCUCUGGGCACACAGGGCCAAGGGGCCUUUUAACCCACGGUUCCCACCUAGGGAUCCCACCAGGACUGUGGAGGACAUAGCAAGUGGUCCUCCCCGCCGUGAGCUUGUGCACACUACCCAGACCCAUGUCUUACCCCCAUGGUUCUCUCCUUUCCUCAUCCUAAGUGCCUGGCAGAUGAAGGAGUUUUCAGGAGCUUUUGACACUUAUAACCCGCCCUUUUUGUAUGCACCAUGGGCGGCUUUUGUAUGUAAUUGCAGCGUGGGGUGG